RNAcentral lists this ribosomal RNA (485 nucleotides) under uncultured bacterium. RNAcentral's name for it is "bacterial SSU rRNA". It matches the Rfam family "Bacterial small subunit ribosomal RNA", at positions 30 to 507 of the family's 1533-position model. The record is from RNAcentral.
AUUGAACGCUGGCGGCAUGCUUUACACAUGCAAGUCGAACGGCAGCGCGGGGGCAACCCUGGCGGCGAGUGGCGAACGGGUGAGUAAUGUAUCGGAACGUAUCCUGUAAUGGGGGAUAACCAGUCGAAAGAUUGGGUAAUACCGCAUACGCACGAGAGUGGAAAGUAGGGGAUCGCAAGACCUUACGUUAUAGGAGCGGCCGAUAUCUGAUUAGCUAGUUGGUGGGGUAAAGGCCUACCAAGGCGACGAUCAGUAGCUGGUCUGAGAGGACGACCAGCCACACUGGGACUGAGACACGGCCCAGACUCCUACGGGAGGCAGCAGUGGGGAAUUUUGGACAAUGGGCGAAAGCCUGAUCCAGCCAUGCCGCGUGCAGGAAGAAGGCCUUCGGGUUGUAAACUGCUUUAGUCUAGGAAAAAGGGGUGCGAGGUUAAUACCCUCGUGCUUUGAUGGUACUGGAAGAAUAAGCACCGGCUAACUACGUG